This 253-nucleotide ribosomal RNA is filed under the name uncultured bacterium. RNAcentral's name for it is "partial 16S ribosomal RNA". It matches the Rfam family "Bacterial small subunit ribosomal RNA", at positions 524 to 776 of the family's 1533-position model. The record is from RNAcentral.
UACAGAGGGUGCAAGCGUUAAUCGGAAUUACUGGGCGUAAAGCGUGCGUAGGUGGUUUAAAAAGUCCACUGUUAAAGGUUGAAGCUUAACUUCAAAAAUGCCGUGGAAACUUUUAAACUUGAGUAUGGUAGGGGUAGAGGGAAUUUCCAGUGGAGCGGUGAAAUGCGUAGAUAUUGGAAAGACCACCGAUGGCGAAGGCACUCUACUGGGCCAUUACUGACACUGAGAGACGAAAGCUAGGGGAGCAAAUGGG